AUUAAUCAAUCCUCCGUCGUCCAGUGCGGCGGCGGUAAAUCUCUUCUUCCGUCUCCCUGGCGCCGCCCUUGUCCUGCGCCGCGGCGUCUCUUCUUCGGCCUUCACCACCGUCCUUUCUUUGUUCCGUGUAAAUCUCCUCUUAGGGAGAAGGAAUAAGAUCGAUUUGCCUGUCGCCUGGUGGUUCGUCUUCUCGCACGCCUCCCAGAUGGAUGGCCAGGGUGCAUCUGCGCGUGGCGCUUCAGACGUCAAAACCUUUGCCUAUGGAUCUGAUCUAUUUCCGUACCAGGUUCGAUCGAUGAACCAAAUCCUCGAAUCAAACAUUUGGAAAGGGCGCGAAGGAGGGUUUCGUGAUUGGAAAGACAAUGCCAUAUCCUGGAGGACAUCGACAAGCUCAUAAAUCUACCAGCUGAUGAUACUUUAUGAAGGGAACAAGGAUGAGGGAGACGAGGAAAGCUGGAAGAUUCCCUGGCCCGAACCCAAGACGCACUUCGGAUCAUACCGAGCCUUGCGCUCGACGAACCGGUUCCAUUUUGGACCAAAAUGGCUGGCCCACUCUUCCUGAGUCUUGUAGUGGGGGAGGUAUGUUAAGCUCUGGGUCGGAUCGUCGGAGUCCGGCAGAGCCGAUCGGAGAAAGGCCACCAAGUAGAACACGUCUUCGUCCGGCGUCACCGCCGAGCUCCUCUCAUCCCACCUGCAAAUUUAAAGAGCUCGAUCAUACUAACACAAACCUUUUCAGGGCUGGACAAUUUUGCAUACAAGACAAGUAAGAAGGUCCCGAUUAGAUAGAUGGAAGCUGACCAAUCACAACUCAUACUUUAUGUUUAUGAUAUUUUAAUGAAUUAGAAAAUUAACAUCAUCCAUUAAGAAGUAGCUAAUGAUUAAGUUA
This is a long non-coding RNA of Zingiber officinale, 886 nucleotides long. RefSeq lists it as uncharacterized. Lineage: Eukaryota; Viridiplantae; Streptophyta; Magnoliopsida; Zingiberales; Zingiberaceae. The transcript is spliced from 3 exons. The record is from RefSeq and is a predicted model, not a curated record.